Molecule: RNA transcript, 1466 nt
Organism: Zingiber officinale
Lineage: Eukaryota; Viridiplantae; Streptophyta; Magnoliopsida; Zingiberales; Zingiberaceae
Exons: 6
Source: RefSeq, a predicted model, not a curated record
UUCCUUCUUCUCUGCUGCUUGUUUCCUUUUUUCUUUGUGCAAGGGCGGAUCCCCCGCCCAGCGGCCCCCUAGGCCUGGCCCUACAGGGAUCCUAGGAGGAGGUAAAUCAGCGGUGAAUGCUAGUCCGGGUAAAGCGUGAUAUCUCCGGAAUUUAAUACAGCCGAUCCAGAUUAUUCAUCCAGUGCGCGUCCGUAGACCUUCGACCCUACGACUCAUUGUGCAAGGAUGUCACGCCUUAAUCGGUUGACCCAGCCCGCGGGGGCGGUGGGUGGGUGGAGGUCAGGAUGACGGUGAAGAAGACGAGGAGGGUUGCCGAGGAGCCCUCGCCAUCCCCUUCGUGCGCCCCUUAUAGAGAUGAUGCUAGGAAAAGAGUUAGAUUCCAAUCGCUCUCGCAAGAUUAUACGGAGUUUCUUGAGGAAACUGAAGAAAAGAAGAGGAGAUUGCUGGAGGCAAGACUAAGGAAACGUAAACUCUUUGCUGAAGCCAGAUUUUUGAGAAGAAAACUUAGACCUUAUUUGCAAACCCGUAUCAGCAAGUUAGAUUGAAGGAACCAUCAAGUAAAACUCCAGUGAUCAAACCUCCUACAGAAAAGAAACUCAGAGUAUCUGAAGCUGCAUGGGCAAGUAACUACAGUAUCGAUAACUUGUCUGCAAAUGCAUCUCAGUAUCAGUUUAAAAAGAGGAAACUGAAUAAAAGAAGAGGAGAUUGCUGGAGGCAAGACUAAGGAAACGUAAACUCUUUGCUGAAGCCAGAUUUUUGAGAAGAAAACUUGAUACCUCACUUGCAAACCCGUAUCAGCAAGUUAGAUUGAAGGAACCAUCGAGUACAAUUCCAGUGAUCAAACCUCCUACAGAAAAGAAACCCAAUGUAUCUGGAGCUGCACGUACAAGUAACUACAUUAUAGAUAACUUGUACGCAAAUGCAUCUCAGUAUCAGUUUAAAAAGAUGUUUCAGAAAAAGCCAACCAAAUCUCUUUGUGUUGCACAAUCUUUGGGUUUUAGGAAGGCCCCCCCUCAAAACAUGAUGACAAUGGAAGCUACAAAUGCUAGCACUUCUGCAACUCUAGGUGCGAAUGAAGUAUCGUUUAAGAAUGGGGAGGAACUGAACAAGUUUCAGUUGGAGCAGUAUUACAUACAAAUGGAGACUCAAUAGAGUGCCUAUGAUUGGAGGAGGCUCAAAUGAUAAGUUAGUGAGUUGCAGAGAUCUUGGAAACAACUCAAAGAAGACCGGUAAGCGAAAACUCUCAUGGCGAGACCCACCGACUAGUGUUGAAGGCUUGAAGUCUUGAUGCAAAUUUUGUUUUGCAAGAGUUGACACAGAAUAUAACUCUCUUCUCAGUUGCGAUUAGCUCAUGCAAGAUGAGAUGGAGAGCAAUCUGUUUUACUGUCACUAAAUGGUUCGUCCAUGUUCAUCGCGAGUUUGCCUGUCUUUAAUCGAAAUGGUAGUUUCCAUUUGAAUUCUUUCAA